Molecule: long non-coding RNA, 665 nt
Filed under: Panax ginseng (ginseng)
Lineage: Eukaryota; Viridiplantae; Streptophyta; Magnoliopsida; Apiales; Araliaceae
Description: long non-coding RNA (PGIN_LNC010062)
Source: RNAcentral
UUAAGACUUAUUUGUUUAUGAUUUCGCACAUAUGUUUAAGGUUAGAGCAACCUGGGAUUUUUAUUAUGCAGUUGAUGUAACCCCAUAAAGGGAGAUUUAUUUAUUAUUUCUAUCUAUUGCAUGGUUUGCAUUUAUUUAUGGGUAGAUAGAUAGAUGAUAUUUGUACAGUGAACACCAAAUCCUGUGGAAAUGGAAGUACCGGAUUUGGGGGUGUCACAGGUUGGUAUCAGAGCUGUAGGUUAUGAACCUUAGGUGGGGGGAAACAACCUUAGGUAGUAGCCUUGUAGAAGAUUGAGAAUAUAGUAGUGGUAAACUCUUAUCGAGUUAUAAGAAAUGGAUUUCUUAAUUCAUUAAAGAUAAUAAAAGACUUUAUGUGCUUAUGUGUUAAUCUAUGUGUUCGCUAGCACGGAUUAGUAACUAAAACUAAAAAUUUUAUUGUCAGGAUGUCGGAUGUUGGAGGAGCUAGUCGAGCUGGGGAGGAGGAACCCGAGUACCUACAGAGGAAGAGCCCCGAGACAUUCAUGUCGUCAGGGAACAACUGGUACAGAGAGAGCCAUCUCCGUUGAUCACUGUUGUUGGUCGGGAGCAUGAGCCUGAGACUGAUCCAAAGGAGGAUUCUGAGGAAGAAGAGGAGUUCCCACCGAACUCUAUUGAUGCUGAGAUAU